This 81-nucleotide transfer RNA is filed under the name Gonatophragmium mori. RNAcentral's name for it is "tRNA-Leu". It matches the Rfam family "tRNA". Rfam says of the family: Transfer RNA (tRNA) molecules are approximately 80 nucleotides in length. Their secondary structure includes four short double-helical elements and three loops (D, anti-codon, and T loops). Further hydrogen bonds mediate the characteristic L-shaped molecular structure. tRNAs have two regions of fundamental functional importance: the anti-codon, which is responsible for specific mRNA codon recognition, and the 3' end, to which the tRNAs corresponding amino acid is attached (by aminoacyl-tRNA synthetases). tRNAs cope with the degeneracy of the genetic code in two manners: having more than one tRNA (with a specific anti-codon) for a particular amino acid; and 'wobble' base-pairing, i.e. permitting non-standard base-pairing at the 3rd anti-codon position. The record is from RNAcentral. Lineage: Eukaryota; Fungi; Ascomycota; Dothideomycetes; Acrospermales; Acrospermaceae.
AUAGGUAUGCUGGAAUUGGUAGACAGGUCUCGCUUAGAACGAGGUGGAUUUCCCAUGUAAGUUCAAGUCUUACUAUCUAUA